GACAACAUCCUGAAAGGGGUGCUAAUACCGCAUGUGGAUAUUUAGUCGCAUGACUUUUUAUCUAAAGGCCUUCGGGUCGCUUCGAGAUGGGCUUGCGGCCUAUCAGGUAGUUGGUGGGGUAACGGCCUACCAAGCCUUCGACGGGUAGCUGGUCUGAGAGGACGAUCAGCCGGAUUGGGACUGAGAUACGGCCCAGACUCCUACGGGGGGCAGCAAUUAGGAAUCUUGCACAAUGGGCGAAAGCCUGAUGCAGCGACGCCGCGUGAAGGAUGAAGGAUUUCGGUCUGUAAACUUCUUUUAAGUGGGAAGAAAUUUGACGGUACCACUUGAAUAAGCCCCGGCUAACUACGUGCCAGCAGCCGCGGUAAUACGUAGGGGGCGAGCGUUGUCCGAAGUUACUGGGCGUAAAGCGCGCGUAGGCGGCUAUUUAAGUCUGGGGUGAAAGGUUCAGCGCUCAACGUGAACAUUGCCUUGGAUACUGGAUGGCUUGAGUCUGACAGAGGGAAACGGAAUUCCUGGUGUAGCGGUGAAAUGCGUAGAUAUCAGGAGGAACACCGGUGGCGAAGGCGGUUUCCUGGGUUAAGACUGACGCUGAGGUGCGAAAGCGUGGGGAGCGAACGGGAUUAGAUACCCCGGUAGUCCACGCCGUAAACGAUGAGUGCUAGGUGUUCGGGG
This 675-nucleotide ribosomal RNA is filed under the name uncultured bacterium. Its description in RNAcentral is "bacterial SSU rRNA". It matches the Rfam family "Bacterial small subunit ribosomal RNA", at positions 142 to 829 of the family's 1533-position model. The record is from RNAcentral.